RNAcentral lists this ribosomal RNA (325 nucleotides) under uncultured eukaryote. RNAcentral's name for it is "partial 18S ribosomal RNA". It matches the Rfam family "Eukaryotic small subunit ribosomal RNA", at positions 1470 to 1796 of the family's 1831-position model. The record is from RNAcentral.
CCCUUAGAUGUUCUGGGCCGCACGCGCGCUACACUGAUGCAUUCAACGAGCCUAUCCUUGACCGUCAGGUCCGGGUAAUCUUUGAAUCUGCAUCGUGACGGGGAUAGAUUAUUGCAAUUAUUAAUCUUCAACGAGGAAUGCCUAGUAGGCGCAAGUCAUCAGCUUGCGUCGAUUACGUCCCUGCCCUUUGUACACACCGCCCGUCGCUCCUACCGAUUGGGUGUGCUGGUGAAAUGUUCGGAUCGGCCGUUUGUCGCGGUUUCCGCGGCUCGUGGCUGAGAAGUUCAUUAAACCCUCCCACCUAGAGGAAGGAGAAGUCGUAACA